This 164-nucleotide ribosomal RNA is filed under the name Pinanga tashiroi. RNAcentral describes it as "5.8S rRNA". It matches the Rfam family "5.8S ribosomal RNA". From Rfam's summary of the family: 5.8S ribosomal RNA (5.8S rRNA) is a component of the large subunit of the eukaryotic ribosome. It is transcribed by RNA polymerase I as part of the 45S precursor that also contains 18S and 28S rRNA. Lineage: Eukaryota; Viridiplantae; Streptophyta; Magnoliopsida; Arecales; Arecaceae. The record is from RNAcentral.
ACGAUGACUCUCGGUAAUGGAUAUCUUAGCUCUCGCAUCGAUGAAGAAUGUAGUGAAAUGCGAUACCUGGUGUGAAUUGCAGAAUCCCGUGAACCAUCAAGUCUUUGAAUGCAAGUUGUGCCCGAGGCCACCCGACCGAGGGCAUGCCUACCUGGGCGUCAUGC